This is a non-coding RNA of Podarcis lilfordi (Lilford's wall lizard), 72 nucleotides long. The record is from the annotation of a GenBank genome assembly. NCBI's taxonomy places the organism in Eukaryota, Metazoa, Chordata, Lepidosauria, Squamata, Lacertidae.
ACCAGGGUAGCUUAGUUGGCUAGAGCAUGGCGCUGAUAAUGCCAGGGUUGCAGGUUCAAUCCCCAUAUGGGA